This 437-nucleotide ribosomal RNA is filed under the name uncultured bacterium. RNAcentral describes it as "partial 16S ribosomal RNA". It matches the Rfam family "Bacterial small subunit ribosomal RNA", at positions 341 to 792 of the family's 1533-position model. The record is from RNAcentral.
ACGGAAGGCAGCAGUGGGGAAUAUUGGGCAAUGGGCGCAAGCCUGACCCAGCAACGCCGCGUGAAGGAAGAAGGUUUUCGGAUUGUAAACUUCUGUCCUUGGUGACGAACACAAUGACGGUAACCAAGGAGGAAGCCCCGGCUAACUACGUGCCAGCAGCCGCGGUAAUACGUAGGGGGCAAGCGUUGUCCGGAAUGACUGGGCGUAAAGGGCGUGUAGGCGGCCUGAUAAGUCUGGAGUGAAAGUCCUGCUUUUAAGGUGGGAGUUGCUUUGGAGACUGUCGGGCUUGAGUGCGGAAGAGGUAAGUGGAAUUCCCAGUGUAGCGGUGAAAUGCGUAGAGAUUGGGAGGAACACCAGUGGCGAAGGCGACUUACUGGGCCGUAACUGACGCUGAGGCGCGAAAGCGUGGGGAGCAAACAGGAUUAGAUACCCUGGUA